CCUAUCAUAACCUUUUUCGUCUUUUCUUAAGUUUUUUCGAUUUGGAGGAGACGAGGAGUCUAGAGAGCCUUCUUAGAUUCUGCGAUCGAUAGAUUUUCAAGAGCAUGGAGAUGCAACAAAGAUCUUUCUCGAAGAUACCCCAUCUAUCCGGGAGGGUCAUUUGACCCCUUAGAUUUGGCUGACGACCCCAACACCUUGGCGGAGCUGAAGGUGAAGGAGAUUAAGAACGGGUGAUGUUCUCGAUGUUUGGAUUCUUCGUGCAGGCAAUUGUAACUGGAAAGGAGCCAUUGGAGAACUUAAACGACCACUUGGUCGGCUCGGUGGCCAACAACGCAUGGGCGUAUGCCACCAACUUCACCUCCAGAAACUAGGAUGGCGCGAUAGAAUCGAUUUAUUUUUCUGUGAGCUGUGAGAGUCUGUAACUUAGACGGAACCACCAGUUGGGUUGGCAGCAUUCGCACAGUAGUACAUUGGGAGAGUGUGAAUGAGUAAAUUAUAGAUGUGUUCUUGUAAUUGGGAAUUGCAACUGGGCGAAGGGAUGUGGAGGCAGGUGUAGAUUUGGGCAUGGAAUGGUUCCGUACCCAAACGGGUGUGUGUUGGUUUCAGCUGAUAUAGAUAGUAGCGCCAUGUCUUGCAAAAUCGAUGUGAUGGGGGCGUGGUUGAAUGGAUGAUGGUCGUAUUUGCGAUAUUUGUAUUCUGCAGGGGAGGCGUGAAUAGCAGAAUGAGGUGAUGGGGAGUGAUUUCGUGGAGUGGUUUCGUAGAGUGAACGACGGUGUGAGCCGAAACUGAGAAUGUGAGGGUGGAUUGGGGGGGAUUUAUUCGAGCUGCAUGUGAUUAGUGCGGUGUGCAUGUGAUUUAUACGACGGGGGAGAAGGUCGACGGAAGAGGUCCCAAGGUAUUUGGUGCAUACAGAUGGAGAUUACCAUCGAGCUGUGCACAUCUAGUUGUUCGUAGAGAGCAUGCAAGAAUCGGUGUUGCAAAAAAAGGUGGAUUGCAGGGAUUUGUGGCCAAGCUUGUGGGGUAUUUCUAGUGUUGGCCACAUCUCUGCUGGAGACACUUCGCUCCUCACUGCCAGGUGAUAGUUGCAAAAUUUCCAUGUUACUGUUGAAUGAUCUCAAAUCCCUUGAUGUGCAAGUUACAGUAAGUUUGAGAUUUAUUUCGUCCUUAGCUACAAAAUUGGUAUGCAUAGAGAGACUCAAAUGUGAGUUGAAGUUGUUCAAAUCUGAAACUCAGAUCCCUAAUUAGGGUCUUUAAACUCUAAUUAGGGUUUAUAAGCCCUAAAUUACGAAAAAUAAAACACAUAUUUUUGAAAAACAAAAACAUUUAUAGAGGUCUUUGGAACAAUAUAAGCCUUGGCAAAAUUUUAGAAUGGAAAAAACUAUGAUAAAUUGAGAGAUAUUUAGGAUCAAAAACCUCUAGGACACUCUUGUAAUCUUAAACCCUAAACCCUCAAUUCUAAAACCUUACAUGCAUUCACUUUUAUUCUAAAACAUAUUCUCAUAUGUUUAAAAAUGUAAAAUCACAACUCAUGCCUUAUUUUUUUAAUCAUACAACCUAGACUCUAAAAUUUCAAUCUCAUAACAUGUACACUAGGAUUGUAAUUUUAAACCCCAACAUUGUAUUGUGAUAAUAUAUGUUUGAAAUAUGAAACUUAUUUUUAUCAAUUCGUUCUAUUUGUUAUAUUUUAUAUUACAUUGUGCUACAUCAGCACCAAAUAGAUCACAAUUAGAUUGAAAAUUUAACUUCUAAAAUGUAAAUAUUGUAAUUUUAUUUUUUAAUGCCAUGUGGACUGUGCCAUGUCUGCAAGAUGCCACGUUGGAUGACAAUGCAAGGUAUGCAAUAAAUUAGAAUUUAACCUCUAAUCUUAUACAUUUUUAACAUUUCCAAAUUAUAUAUAUUUUUUGAAAUGCCACGUGGACUAUACCACGUCAACACGAUGCCUGCCACGUCACAUGACAAUGCUAGGUGGACUGCAAGGGCUCAUAGUUUCAAGGGCAGUAGUCUUCAAUAGUCAUCUAAUUUUUGGAUGAAAAAUCAUUGUCAUCAUGAGACCAACGUGCAAUCCAUGGAAUUGGAUGAAAGUUAAUCGAUGCAACUGGGGCAAGGCCACUAACGGACUUAUCCUAGAGAAAGCCGCGCGGCGCAAGAAGCUUACUGGGUAUUUUGGGCCAGAUCCAGAUCAGGAAUAUUAGAAGGCUGUUGCGGGGGGGGUAACACAGUAGUGCAGGGUGAGCGGCAGUUGACAAGAAUCAAAGGUAGGUUGACGCUUCUGUGAGAGGCAGCUGCGAGAUUACACCGAGAGAGAGCCAUACCCGAGGUCUUUGUGUCGGGCGGCGGAGGUUGUCAUCGUGUCCACAGAAAGGAAGCCACAUGCAUGCAACCGACAUGUGAUCGGAGUAGGAUCUGUCGCUUACCAGUGAAUGGCCACAUUCGAUGGCGAACUUGAGGUAGUGAUGCGAAGGUUGUGACUUUACGAGAAGGCAAAAUAGAUUGCAACAACCAAUGCGGAUCUGACGUGGCUGAACAAUAGUGAUGCUGGAGAGACAGUGCAGACGGUGAUGAGCAAGUCUUUAAACAAGCACAACACGUCGUACUUUGAGGCGCGGCUGUUGGAAGAGGGUCCACUGUGGACAGAAGUCAGACCGAGCACUAGAUCGAAAAGAGUGCGAGAUUGGGCCAAGACAGUAGGUGCGGUCUUGGGUGGCGAAGCCCGAGAUAGGAAGGAGAGCCUGCUGUUUAGGCUAGCAGUAUAAUAGGAAUCUGGAUCUCAAAUUGGAAGCGAGCUUCGAAGGACCACAUUGCUGCAAAAAGAAGCGUUGUAGUGUAUAUGGUGUGGCGUGGUCCAACAAUGUGCUAAGUGAAGAGUGAGUAGAUGAGAGAUGAGUGGAUUUAUCAAGCAAAGGAUAUUGCAGAUGCAGUGCUAGCAAUUGUGGGGAGAGAUCCAAAACAGAUCUAAUGUGGUCGCAAAGUUAGCAGGUUGAAAUGGUAGCAAUAUUGUAGCAGUAUUGUGUUGCGAGCCAGAGGAGAAGUUGUGCAUGCUAAGCAGAGUUUGGUGAUGGAGCAAGAGCUAGCCAAAGAAUGCCCAGUUUGAGCUAUUUCGAGCAAAGGCCUGUUUGUCGUGU
This is a non-coding RNA of Physcomitrium patens, 3122 nucleotides long. The record is from RefSeq and is a predicted model, not a curated record. Lineage: Eukaryota; Viridiplantae; Streptophyta; Bryopsida; Funariales; Funariaceae.